UGGAAUAAUUCUUGGUGUAUUAAUUGUGCAGAAAUUACAAUCAUAGGUGUUGAGGGAAAACUAUGUGAAAGAGCAAGCUUGACAUGGUCCGGGAAGUGCGGAAACACACAGAACUGUGAUAAGCAGUGCCAGAGCUGGGAAGGUGCAAAACAUGGAGCAUGUCACAAACGAGGCAAUUGGAAAUGCUUCUGUUACUUUAAUUGUUGAACAAGGAACAAGAAACUGAACCGUGCAUGCAUAAGUACCAUAUUAUUAGUACAAGUGUAAGUGUAACCUAAAUUAAUAAAAUGAAAUGCUUAUCACCAUGCAUGUAUUAAUCAUGUUAAAUAGCAAUUUCAUUGUUCACUACUAGCUUUCGCAUGAUAGCUAGAAGUUGUAACGAAAGAUGUAUCCCAUAAAUAUCAGUCGAUCGGUUAAUUUCAAUAUUAAUUCCAUGUUGUAUGAAUAAAAGAAAUAAUUAAUUGUUUCUCUCGGUUCCAACUUAUGAUCUGAAAGUACUUCAAAGGUUUUGUUUCAAACUUUCAAUUACCUUGAUGCUUAUGGAUGCUCGAUAUAUUUUUAACGUGUCUGUUGGGAUUGGAUCGGGUUCGACUAAUGCUAAUACGACAGGAAAGUGGAGGGUUGUAAGGGGGCAUUGUCCCCGUGUAAUUAAGCUUAAGAAUUAUUAGUAGUAUAUAUGAUCUUGAGUUUUACUAAAAGGAAGGAGAGAAUAAAUUAAUAAUAGUACUCCCUCUACUUCAAUAGUAAAUUUAAAAUAUUUUUAAUUUAAAAUUAAUAAGAAUUUAUUUAAUUUUUUUUAAUAGAAUUAUGAAUUACCUAAAAAGUAUGAGUAAUAUAUUAUGAGAUUAAUUUUGCUUCAAUCCUGAGAUAAAUCAUGGUAAUAUAUUAAAAAUUUUAAAAUGUCUCAACUAAAUUUUUUUAAAAUCAAUAUUGAUCUUAUAUUUGUAUAUAUUUUUACCAUUAUAUAAUAAGGUAUAAGAACGAGUUUUAAGCCGGGUAUUAUAGGUAGUUUUCGUCUUUCAACAUGAUUUUGGUCGCCCGAUAUUUUUCUUAAUUUGUAAUAUAUAUAUAGGUGGUAUUCGAUGAAAAUGAAUAGUACUUAAAAUCUGAAUUGUUAAUUAAUACAUCUAAAUUGAUAAUAGAUUAGACAAUCGGUCUAAAUGAGAAUCUGAAUAAAAAAUAUUAUUUAAUAAUUAACCUGCGUAAAGGCAGCAUUUUAAAAUUUUAACCCCCUAAAGAGAUAGAAAAGUCAAAUUAGAGUUAAAAUAGCAUUAAGGAUAAAAGAGGAAUAAUAUAAUGUUACUGAGGUUAUUUUUGUCUAAAAAAAUUCAAAUUUUGUAAGGGGUGUAAAUGAACCAAGUCAAACCGAAUAUAUUGAGUUACUCAUAUUUGGUUUAUAAAAUUUAUUAAGUAUGAACUAAGGUUUGAUUGAGACCUGUUUAGCUAUCGAGUAGGGUACGAUCUCAAUUGAGUCCGAACAAUUUGAAUUUUUUGAGCGAAAAUGAUCUGAAUAUUAAUAAAAAAAAUUACAAUUUGAAGAGGUUCAAAUAAUUUAUCGAAUCUUAAACUUUGCUCAUAUUUGAAUUGUUUAUAUUUAAAUCGUGUUUAAAUUGAAUUUUUAGUCAAACGAAUACAAAUCAAACUAACCCGAACCAUUUAGUGCAUUUUACAAUGUUAGAAACUAGAGGAUAUCUGCUUUGACUUUCUACAUCAAUUAAAAUUCGUCUUAGAAGGGUAAAAAUUAUCCUUAAGUACAGUGUAGUGUCAGGUAUGUCUCGCUGGACUAUCAAGAGUUCUUAAUUUUUUCUAAAAAAAUUUCAACAGCUCGUUGAAAAAGUAAAAUCACAAACAAAAAAAGCUUAUAUCAUGGAGCAAGUCAUUUUUGCGGACAGUACAAGCUACUAGCUAGCCGCAACAAAUUAAACUUCAACUAAAGAGGCAUAUUACUCUUAUUGGUAGUAUGACAAAUUAGUCAGCUGAAUGAUUUCAUUUUCAGCCAGAUAGAGUGCAUGCCAACUAUUCUUGUAUUCUGCCAAGUGGUAGCUUCUCUUCUUAACACCUUCAUGCAGUGUCGUCACAGCUAAAUUUAACAUACAAAUCGAACACGGACCUAGCCAAGAAUCUCUUACUAUAAAUACGUACCCCCCCUUUAAAGUUUUUUCCUAUUAUCCACUACAUAUAAAGUUUAAUUCAAUUUAAGAUAGAAGAUCAAAAAUGGCACAAAAAUUUAGCCCAAGUGCCCAACUACGUACCUUCUUUGCAAUCUCUCUCAUUUUUAUCCUUUUUGCUAACACAGGUGAGUACUACUUAAUAAUUUGUUCUUUAAUUCCCGCCUAUUUUUCUAUAUAUAUAUCCUCUAUAUGCAUGCUGGUGCAAUCGAUCACUAGUGUAGAUUUAGUUUUGCUUUAUCUUAUUCUCACUCACAACCAUGUUAGGAAUUAAAAAAAAAUGUUAUAAUUUGUUUCAAAAUAUGAAUAAUACUUUAUAAUUUGUUCUUUAAUUCCCGCCUACUUUUCUAUAUAUAUCCUCUAUAUGCAUGCUGGUGCAAUCAAUCACUAGUGUAGAUUUAGUUUUGCUUUAUCUUAUUCUCACUCAUAACCAUGUUAGGAAUUAAAAAAAAAAUUGUUAUAGUUUGUUUCAAAAUAUGAAUAAUACUUUAUAAAUGAUCAUACCAGCGCUAAUAUUGCAUUGCACGGGACAAUAAAGCUAUUAAUUCGGACGUGAGUAGUAAUAAGAUCACUGAUUAGUCUUGAUGUUCAGAUUAAUUAGGAUAACAUGAAAUUAUCUCAAAACUUAUCAUCUGUCAAAGAAAGAAUUACAUUUGGAUAGCAGGGAAAUUGUACGUAUUUGUACUUGAUGUCUUUAAUUUAUUGUACAACUAAUUGCAACUUUCUUACAUCUUAAUUUGGACUAGCCACAAAAAAAAAGAAGAAGAAGUUUCAUUCCAUUGACCUUUUUUCUACGAAUUUAAUUUUAUUAUUGUAUGCAUUCAUAAUAAACAAUUUUAAUACGUACAUACAUGUGUUUAUAAAUUUAUUAGAUUAAUUAAUUUUUUGGUGUAUUAAUUGUGCAGAAACAAUUAUAGGUGUUGAGGGAAUAGUAUGUGAAAAACCAAGCUUGACAUGGUCCGGGAAUUGCGGAAACACACAACACUGUGAUAAACAGUGCCAGACCUGGGAAUCUGCAAAACAUGGAGCAUGUCACAAACGAGGCAAUUGGAAAUGCUUCUGUUACUUUGAUUGUUGAUCCAAUACAAUACCUGGGAAUAUAUUAAGAAUCUUAAACCAUGCAUGCAUGAAAAUGCAUGCGAAUAUCCUCGUACUAGCUAUUUAAUUUGAUUACUAGCCUGUUAUUAUGAGUAUGUACAUAGUGUUAUCUAAACAAAUAAGGAACACUAUUUUUAGAUGUAAUUUAGAUAUUUUCAUAUGGUCUUCUCUCAUAAGAGAGUAGGGUGGAUUCCAUCUUUAUUUGAUAGCAGCUCAUGUGAAAAUAUUAUUACAUACGAAAAUAUCAUUUCCCAGUAAAUAAAACGAAAUGCUUCUUAGCUAGCUAGCGCAUGAUGAUGGCUAGAAGUUAUUUCAUGUAUCUGUACGUUUUGAUCGUACGUUUGAUUGUGUUAUGAAUAAAUUAAGGGUUUCUAUGUUUCUUAUCAUGUAGUAGUAUUUUUUAUGGAAGUACUUUUGGGCAAUGUUUGUGAAUCUUGUGAAUAGAUAAGAAAGGGAAAGUUCCUUUAAUUUAUUUGAAAAGAAGAACUUUAUCUUCCCUUGUUCUCAAAAGUAAGCUCACUGAUAAGCUUUUAAUUUUUGGUUAACUCGACUCCAAUAUUUAUCGAAUAUGUCUCUUACUCCAUAACUUUAACGAGAAAUAGGCGCUUGACAGAUUCAUGUAAUAGAACUCACAUUCAAAGGAGAAUUGGAAGAAUCCGUUUUGUUUUUUGAAGUAUGAGGACCCAAAAAAAUAACUCAAACCUCUGUACGCAGAUUUAUUUGAAUCCGAUCACUUAAUGAUCGAUGAACGACAAGUCUUAGACUCACAGGACCUUUUAAGCCGAGCCCGAGUCAAGGCUGCUUUCUAAACUGGCUUCGAGCAUCCGGUUUCACCACCCCUGCCUGCUCUGUCCUUCGGCACUUUCCAGCUUUUUCUCCUUGUUGAUAAAAAAAAAUAUACACAUUGCAGGAGUAUGAAGCUGAGUUUGAGAAGGUUGUCAAGCGGUGGUUGGCAGUUAACCUUAUGCCGUUCCGUACUCUCGCCUACCUAGGCAUCCCGCCCAGGAAAUCCACACCAAGGAUGAAGGAUCUAAUCUAAAGAAGAAUCAUAUAAAAAAAGAUUUUGUUCUACACUUUCAAUCUUUGUCUCUCUCUUUGCCUUUUUCAUUUUCACUAUUUCAUGACUCUCAAGUCAUUUAUUUAAAAAAAAGAAAGUAUUCUAUCUUCACUAAUUUCAAGCCAAAAAUGUUAUGUAUGACGACUUAAAACCGAUAACACACUAUAAAUGUUAAUGAUCUUUAACUUAAUUGUCUUUUUUGUCUAUUCAGUUGUAUGCUGACUAAUCAUGAUAUAUAUAGCAUGGCUAUAGCCCUAAUUUAUUUAAUACUCUCUCCGUUCCUUAAUAUAGGUCGUUUUAGAGUUGUACACAAGUAUUAAGGAAAUGCUUAUAAAACAUUAAAUAUAGUAUCAAUUGUUUAGACUGCCCUUGUAUUGGAAAAAAAAAGAGUAAUGUUAUUUAUUGGACAAAAAAAUAGUGAUAAAACCAAAGUUAUAUUUAUUACUUGGGGUAAUAUUAAAAACUAAGCAAUUAAUGCUUAUUUAAAAUUCUCAAAUCACUUAUAUUUAGGAACAAAAAUAUUUUUCUAAAACGACCUAUAUUAAGUAAGUAAGGAACUGAGGGAGUAAAUGGUAAUGAAAAUCCAAAAUCUAAAGGACCAAGUCCCUUGUUCAAUGGUGUUACCCUCCAUCCAGAAAUUUACAUUUUUCGGAUUUACCGCACAACUCCUUAUGGUAGUAAAAGGAGUAUAUGGGCGUCCUCCACUAAAUUCGAUAAUUCCAAACCAAACUAAAUUACAUCAAGUGAUGAUUAUGUACCAUAUAUAUAUAUAUAUAUAUAUAUAUAUAUAUAUAUAUAUAUACGGUCCGGAUCAAGUGCAUACCCCUUAUCUUAUUCAUCCAUGCUCACCCCCUUUUAGGCCACGAUUUCGGUCAUACAACCGUCGCCUAUACUUUUAGCGACGCUAUAUGUUGUCCGUCGCUAAAAUUAUAGGCGACGGUUGUAUGACCAAAACCGUCGCCUAAAGUGGGGUGAGCACGGGUGAGUAAGAUAAGGGGUAUGCACUUAUCUUUGCUAUAUAUAUAUAUAUAUAUAUAUAUAAUGCAUUACAAUCGGGGAUUAUUCCAGCAGUUAUUAUCUCCAUCAUAUGUAAUUGGUUGUGCCAAGUUGAUAUAUAUCUACUUCAAAAUUUAGGAAACCAAGUAAGAAAUUAAUAGUUAAGGAGUACUCAACUCCAUAAAAGGACUAGACGGGCCCAUACUUUAGGCUCAAUGAAGUUUACUUAAUUGCUUGAAAAAUUGAAGAGCAAACUGCAAAGCAAUACCUGAACAUAUAUGGGUUGGAAUCAAAAUGUCCCAAUGGGCCAAAUGAACCUUUCACUCGACCCAAUCACAGCCCAACUUUGAUAAAUUAUACACCGAGUCAACAUAUGAUUUGAGAGAGUGCCAACUGUCUUGUAUUCUGCUAGGUGGCAGCUUUUCUCCUAACAUUUUCAUGCAGUGUCGUCACAGCAUUACCAUGCAAAUCAAACACGAAACUUUGACCAUAAAUACCCUUAUGCAUUAUCUUUUCUGGGGAAAAAAAGAGACUAUAAAUACCCUUUCAUAUUCUUCUUUUCCUGUUAGGCACAACUUAAAUUUGAGAAGAUCGAUAUAACAUGGCAAAUAAAGCUAGUAGCCUCGUUAGCUUCUUUGCAAUCCUUCUCAUUUUCUUCCUUGUUGUUAACACAGGUGAGCCGGUGACUACUUCAAUAAUUUGUGUUUUAGUAUCAUUGUAAAUUAAUUAAGGGUUCCUUUGUUUUUUUAAUAAUUUUUGGAGUUAAAUCGCAUAGAAUUAAUAUUUUUACGAUUGAAGUAUAUAUAUAUUAUGAUUAAUAUUUGUUUCAAAAUAUAUAAGACAUAAUUUAUUAGUUAUGAUCGUAUCAGCACUAUUGAAACACGUUUUUGGAUGAGUAUUAAGUAUAGUAAUAAGAUUGGUUACUCCAUGGGGAGUGAUCAUAAUGUAUGUUAGACCCUUGAAAUUAAUUAACCUUAAAAUAAAAAUAUUUACAAAUGAUCGAUCUCAUGAUUUUGAAUAUUUUUGCUAUANNNNNNNNNNNNNNNNNNNNNNNNNNNNNNNNNNNNNNNNNNNNNNNNNNNNNNNNNNNNNNNNNNNNNNNNNNNNNNNNNNNNNNNNNNNNNNNNNNNNUAUAUAUAUAUAUAUAUAUAUAUAUAUAUAUAUACACUACAUAAUCAACUAUUCUGAAUUUGCUUAAUUAGAAUAAUUGUUGGUGUAUUAAUUUUGCAGAAACAAUUAUAGGUGUUGAGGGAAAACUAUGUGAAAAAGCAAGCUUGACAUGGUCCGGGAAGUGCGGAAACACACAGAACUGUGAUAAGCAGUGCCAGAACUGGGAAUCUGCAAAACAUGGAGCAUGUCACAAACGAGGCAAUUGGAAAUGCUUUUGUUACUUUGAUUGUUGAACCAAUACCUGGGAAGGGAAUAUAUUAAGAAUCUUAAACCAUGCAUGCAUGCAUGAAAAUGCAUGCGAAUUCCCUCGUACGUGCUAGCUAUUAAAUUUGAUUACCUAGCCUGUUAUUAUUAGUAUGUAGGUAUUGUUAAUUAUCUAAAUAAAUAAAACGAAAUGGUUCUUAGCUAGCUAGCUAGCUAGCUAGCGCAUGAUCAUGAAUAUGGCUAGAAGUUGUUUCAUGUAUCUGUUUUGAUCCAUCGUUCGUACGUUUCAAUGUUUUAUGAAUAAAUUAAGUGUUUCUUAUCAUGCAGUAGUAGUUGUACUUUUUAUGGAAGUACGUACUUUAGGCCAAUAUAAUGUUUGCGAGUCUUAUGAAUAGAUAGGAAAGAGAAAGUUCUUUCAAAACUUUAUCUUCCCUUGUAAUUCUCAAAACUA
This 7144-nucleotide long non-coding RNA is filed under the name Panax ginseng (ginseng). Its description in RNAcentral is "long non-coding RNA (PGIN_LNC001013)". The record is from RNAcentral. Lineage: Eukaryota; Viridiplantae; Streptophyta; Magnoliopsida; Apiales; Araliaceae.